Non-coding RNA from Marmota flaviventris (yellow-bellied marmot), 331 nucleotides. The record is from RefSeq and is a predicted model, not a curated record. Lineage: Eukaryota; Metazoa; Chordata; Mammalia; Rodentia; Sciuridae.
AGCACUUUGUGAACAAGCUGCGCUACGGAGUUUCCCUCAGUGACCAGGUGAUUAAUGGAAUCAUCACGUUUGUUACUACGAUUUUAUUUGGUGCUCCAGGACUCGUCUUCAGGGCAGUGGCCAGAGCACUGCGGAACAAUUAAUAAAUCUAAGGCGUUAUGUUGGUGGCACCAGUUAACUCUGGGGGAUUUGAGCAAGCUGGUUUACAGAUUUCACUCUCUUUUGAAAUCAUCAGCACUUGGUUUAGUAAAGCUGAAUCAAAGCACAGGAAGCCUUUAUCUGAGGGAAAUGCUGCUAGCACAAAUUCUAUUAAAGACGAGAUUGCACAAUA